Molecule: long non-coding RNA, 603 nt
Organism: Anolis carolinensis (green anole)
Lineage: Eukaryota; Metazoa; Chordata; Lepidosauria; Squamata; Anolidae
Exons: 2
Source: RefSeq, a predicted model, not a curated record
UGAACUCGAGGUCUUGGCUGUGUUUUUGAUACUUAUAUAUUUAGGUUGUCUUGUGUACUUCUUUUCUUCCAGGUUCUCCCUUGAAAUGUUACACCUGCCUGUUCCCCACCAUCUCCCCAUUGGACUGUUUUAAGUUCAUCACACCAUGCGGACCAUCCCAGAGGUGCCUCCAGUCUGUGACAACAGGGCAUAGAGGUGCUCUCGAGUUGGUGAUCCAUGAGAUGAGCUGUGGGAAUCCUUCCAUGUGCGGCCUCCGUGGCACCCGCUCCAUGUUGGGAACCAAUUUCACCUACUACACUACCUGCUGCUCCACCGAUCUGUGCAACAAGGCUGUUCGGCAAGAUCUCCACAUUUUCUGGGGGCUACUGCUUGCUUCUUUGUCGUUCUUCCUGGUAAACAUCUCCUGAGAUGAUUAUCUCAAAACUCACUGGCAACAUUUUGCUACUUUUUGUCAGCUCUGUAAGAGAUCCUUCUACCCCCAUUACUAUAGGGGAAAGUUGCAUUGAUAACUCUUGUUUUCCUAUCUCCUUUUAUUCUACUUUCUUACUUUCCCAGCUGGAUUUUAUGGUUGUUACAAACAGUAAUAAAACAUAUUGUAAGCUU